AUAAUACUCCAUAGAUUAGAGACACUGGAAUGCUCUUUAGUCGAAAGUUCUGGCGCCUUAGGAUGGAUCUGCGGUCGAUUAGGUUGUUGUUGGGGUAACGGCCCAACAAGCCUGUAAUCGAUACGGGUUGUGGGAGCAAGAGCCCGGAGAUGGAAUCUGAGACACGAUUCCAGGCCCUACGGGGCGCAGCAGGCGCGAAAACUUUACAAUGCAGGAAACUGUGAUAAGGGAACUCCGAGUGCCCGUAUACGCGGGCUGUCCAGGUGUUUAAAAAUCAUCUGAAGAAAGGGCCGGGCAAGACCGGUGCCAGCCGCCGCGGUAAUACCGGCGGCUCGAGUGGUGGCCACUAUUAUUGGGCUUAAAGCGUCCGUAGCUGGACCGAUAAGUCUCUUGGGAAAUCCGCCGGCUCAACCGGCGGGCGUCUAAGGGAUACUAUUAGUCUAGGGACCGGGAGAGGUGAGAGGUACUCCGGGGGUAGGAGUGAAAUCCUGUAAUCCCCGGGGGACCACCGAUGGCGAAGGCAUCUCACCAGAACGGCUCCGACAGUGAGGGACGAAAGCUGGGGGAGCGAACCGGAUUAGAUACCCGGGUAGUCCCAGCCGUAAACUAUGCGCGUUAGGUGU
Molecule: ribosomal RNA, 623 nt
Filed under: uncultured archaeon
Lineage: Archaea
Description: bacterial SSU rRNA
Rfam family: Archaeal small subunit ribosomal RNA
Source: RNAcentral